CAGUAGCCGCGGUAAUACAGAGGGUGCGAGCGUUAAUCGGAUUUACUGGGCGUAAAGCGUGCGUAGGCGGCUUUUUAAGUCGGAUGUGAAAUCCCUGAGCUUAACUUAGGAAUUGCAUUCGAUACUGGGAAGCUAGAGUAUGGGAGAGGAUGGUAGAAUUCCAGGUGUAGCGGUGAAAUGCGUAGAGAUCUGGAGGAAUACCGAUGGCGAAGGCAGCCAUCUGGCCUAAUACUGACGCUGAGGUACGAAAGCAUGGGGAGCAAACAGGAUUAGAUACCCCGGUUGUCCCUGUCUCUUAUAC
RNAcentral lists this ribosomal RNA (301 nucleotides) under uncultured bacterium. RNAcentral's name for it is "partial 16S ribosomal RNA". It matches the Rfam family "Bacterial small subunit ribosomal RNA", at positions 509 to 807 of the family's 1533-position model. The record is from RNAcentral.